ACAGCAGUCGCCACGGUAAUACGGAGGGUGCAAGCGUUAAUCGGAAUUACUGGGCGUAAAGCGCACGCAGGCGGUCUGUCAAGUCAGAUGUGAAAUCCCCGGGCUUAACCUGGGAACUGCAUUUGAAACUGGCAGGCUAGAGUCUUGUAGAGGGGGGUAGAAUUCCAGGUGUAGCGGUGAAAUGCGUAGAGAUCUGGAGGAAUACCGGUGGCGAAGGCGGCCCCCUGGACAAAGACUGACGCUCAGGUGCGAAAGCGUGGGGAGCAAACAGGAUUAGAUACCCCUGUAGUCCCUGUCUCUUAUAC
This 305-nucleotide ribosomal RNA is filed under the name uncultured bacterium. RNAcentral's name for it is "partial 16S ribosomal RNA". It matches the Rfam family "Bacterial small subunit ribosomal RNA", at positions 505 to 807 of the family's 1533-position model. The record is from RNAcentral.